Non-coding RNA from Pangasianodon gigas (Mekong giant catfish), 72 nucleotides. The record is from the annotation of a GenBank genome assembly. Lineage: Eukaryota; Metazoa; Chordata; Actinopteri; Siluriformes; Pangasiidae.
GUAGGUGUAGCUAACAAACUAGCAGAUCUGUAUAUACACAUAAACAUAACUGUGGGAUAGGGUUGGGGGUGA